GUGAGAUGUUGGGUUAAGUCCCGCAACGAGCGCAAACCCCCUAUCCUUUUAAAUUGCCAUCAUUCAGUUGGGCACUUUAGAGAGACUGCCGGUGUUAAGCCGGAGGAAGGUGGGGAUGACGUCAAGUCCUCAUGGCCUUUAUGUCUAGGGCUACACACGUGCUACAAUGGGUGGUACAAAGAGCAGCUAACUCGCGAGAGUAUGCAAAUCUCAAAAAGCCAUCCUCAUUCGGAUUGGAGUCUGCAACUCGACUCCAUGAAGUUGGAAUCGCUAGUAAUCGCGGAUCAGCAUGCCGCGGUGAAUACGUUCCCGGGCCUU
This 318-nucleotide ribosomal RNA is filed under the name uncultured Smithella sp. Its description in RNAcentral is "bacterial SSU rRNA". It matches the Rfam family "Bacterial small subunit ribosomal RNA", at positions 1067 to 1382 of the family's 1533-position model. The record is from RNAcentral. Lineage: Bacteria; Pseudomonadati; Thermodesulfobacteriota; Syntrophia; Syntrophales; Smithellaceae.